This 460-nucleotide ribosomal RNA is filed under the name uncultured bacterium. Its description in RNAcentral is "partial 16S ribosomal RNA". It matches the Rfam family "Bacterial small subunit ribosomal RNA", at positions 338 to 795 of the family's 1533-position model. The record is from RNAcentral.
CCUACGGGAGGCAGCAGUGAGGAAUAUUGGUCAAUGGGCGCGAGCCUGAACCAGCCAAGUAGCGUGAAGGAUGACUGCCCUACGGGUUGUAAACUUCUUUUAUAAAGGAAUAAAAUGAGGCACGUGUGCCUUUUUGUCUGUACUUUAUGAAUACGGAUCGGCUAACUCCGUGCCGGCAGCCGCGGUAAUACGGAGGAUCCGAGCGUUAUCCGGAUUUAUUGGGUUUAAAGGGAGCGUAGGGGGGUUGUUAAGUCAGUUGUGAAAGUUUGCGGCUCAACCGUAAAAUUGCAAUUGAUACUGGAAGUCUUGAGUACAGUUGAGGUAGGCGGAAUUCGUGGUGUAGCGGUGAAAUGCUUAGAUAUCACGAAGAACUCCGAUUGCGAAGGCAGCUUACUAAACUGCCACUGACAUUGAUGCUCGAAAGUGUGGGUAUCAAACAGGAUUAGAUAUCCGAGUAGUC